CUAGCCGGAGCAGCCCUAUCCACAAACACAUCUCGUGCAUACAAUCGAGCAUUUACCAUAUACACCAAAUUCACGACACAUCAUCAGAUAACUGACACUCAUUCUCUAGAUUCCAUUAUUGCAUUUAUUUCUUUCUGCCACCUUAACCUAAAAUUAUCAUUGAACACCAUUAAACUAUAUCUCUCGGGUAUACAACAUCAUAUCAUCAGU
Molecule: non-coding RNA, 210 nt
Organism: Pelobates cultripes (western spadefoot toad)
Lineage: Eukaryota; Metazoa; Chordata; Amphibia; Anura; Pelobatidae
Source: the annotation of a GenBank genome assembly